This 468-nucleotide ribosomal RNA is filed under the name uncultured bacterium. RNAcentral's name for it is "partial 16S ribosomal RNA". It matches the Rfam family "Bacterial small subunit ribosomal RNA", at positions 28 to 507 of the family's 1533-position model. The record is from RNAcentral.
GACGAACGCUGGCGGCGUGCUUAACACAUGCAAGUCGAACGGAAAGGCCCUGCUUUUGUGGGGUGCUCGAUUGGCGAACGGGUGAGUAACACGUGAGUAACCUGCCCUUGACUUUGGGAUAACUUCAGGAAACUGGGGCUAAUACCGGAUAGGAGCUCCUGCUGCAUGGUGGGGGUUGGAAAGUUUCGGCGGUUGGGGAUGGACUCGCGGCUUAUCAGCUUGUUGGUGGGGUAGUGGCUUACCAAGGCUUUGACGGGUAGCCGGCCUGAGAGGGUGACCGGCCACAUUGGGACUGAGAUACGGCCCAGACUCCUACGGGAGGCAGCAGUGGGGAAUAUUGCACAAUGGGCGGAAGCCUGAUGCAGCAACGCCGCGUGCGGGAUAACGGCCUUCGGGUUGUAAACCGCUUUCGCCUGUGACGAAGCGUGAGUGACGGUAAUGGGUAAAGAAGCACCGGCUAACUACGUG